This is a non-coding RNA of Python bivittatus (Burmese python), 873 nucleotides long. The record is from RefSeq and is a predicted model, not a curated record. NCBI's taxonomy places the organism in Eukaryota, Metazoa, Chordata, Lepidosauria, Squamata, Pythonidae.
AGGGAGCGUCAAGGUCAUUUAGCAGCCCCCUGACAGCACAACUUUGGGGCUGCAGACUCCCCACGGAGGGAGAGAGGAAAGAAGAGCAAUCAACCUUGUGCUGAGUUACGCUGUUCUCUUAGGAGGACCUCUUCAGGCCCUUCCAGCCGGCUGUCACUAGGAUGUAUUUCGGGUCUUUCAUGAGUGCCCUUGUGUAGAUUUUUGUAUGGGAAAAUCAGGGUUUUUUCAUCGGAAGGAAUAAUUCUAGGUCCUCCCCUGAAAUACCCAAAUGCCUGAGAUUUGACAUACUAUACAUGAGGUUUGUUGGGAUAUCUGGCGUGAAAGUCAGUAAUGAGUUUCCGUGCUUUAACAUGUACAGCAUCCACCCAUUCAUGGUGUGUUUUAGGGAAAUCUUUCUAUUGGACCAAAUAUUGAAGUUUGCCCUUAUAUUUCCUGGAGUCUAAUAUGGCUAGAAUUUCAAAAUGACAUUGUCCUUCAAUCAUAGUAGGGCGAGGCAGUAGUUUGGUUGGAUGCCAUGUACUGAAGUCUUUGAAAGACUUGAGAAGAUUAGCAUGAAAAACUGGGUGUAUGUUUCUGUAAAGCUUUGGAAGAGUUAAUUUAAAAGCAAUAGGACUGAUGACUUUUUCAAUGGGGAAGUUUUUUAUUAGGUUGAGUACUUUUUAAGUUUUUGGUAGAAAGCCAGACUUUGUCGCCCACUUUCCAAGGGGGGUUUGCAGAGCGUUUUCUGUCAACAAAUUUCUUAUGUUGUGCUCUGGCAUUUUGUAGUGAUUGCACGAUUAGAGGCCAUAGUUGAGUGAUAUUGUUGAUCCAUUGGUCAGUAGUGUCAGGCAGAGUGGAGGUGUGAGUACAUUCCACACCAAAAAUACACACCAG